CCUUUUCCCCUGCAGCUCUCCUUUCUCCCGGCUGCCCCCGCCUCCCGCCCCGAGAGAGGGGAGAGUUGCUCUGCGCAGGCGUCCGCGGGACAGCGCCUGUCCGCGAGCGGCGGCGAGUCCGGUUCAGGACCCGCCCUGGCCGAGCUCGCUGCGCUGUUUGGGUGGACUGAGAGGCGGCUCUAGGGGUUGGUCAUCAGAGCGUGGCAUCUCUUUGCAAAAGAGUACCCAAGCCGCCCGAGAGAUCUCGGCGUCCUGUAAGUUGCUUAUGGAUUGGGGGUGUCGCUCAGAGGUAGAGCACUUGCCUAGCAUGCUCAAGGGCCUGAGAUCAUCCUAAGCAACGCAAAAAAUAGUUCCCUUUACCUUUUUACUUAAUGUAACCUGGAUUUUCCCCUGAGAUGGCUGCUGCCCCUUCCACUGCUUAUAUAGUGGCAACUGUGUUUUCAGCCAUUGAAAUGUUUUCAACCAUUGGCUAAGCCUCUUAGCCAGUGCCUAGAGGUCAGGUAAGUCUCUGCUCUUCAACAAUCUUGUUAUGCAGGACCCCUACCAGUGCCCUCCCUCAUUCCCCUUCCUUUUUUCACCAUCUGCUGCUUUCAGUUACUAGUGCCACUUCUGUACUAAUCCUAGGGUAGUUAUAAAGUAUACUUAAGGGGCUGGGGAUGUGGCUCAAGCAGUGGCGCGCUCGCCUGGCAUGCAUGCGGCCUGGGUUCGAUCCUCAGCACCACAUACAAACAAAGAUAUUGUGUCUGCCGAA
Molecule: non-coding RNA, 751 nt
Organism: Ictidomys tridecemlineatus (thirteen-lined ground squirrel)
Lineage: Eukaryota; Metazoa; Chordata; Mammalia; Rodentia; Sciuridae
Source: RefSeq, a predicted model, not a curated record